GUACCAAAAGGUCCAUACCAAAACAAGACGUAUUCGCCUCCAUUCCGAGUGAGGGUUGCUUCGGUACAAUCCCUGAAACACUUUAAACCGUGGAGUAUUUUAUAUACGGAGUACUUCAGUGACAAGAUGUCGCUGCCGCCGUCCGGUGCGCCUUCAUGUCAACAAGUGUUUUCUGCUGCGGCCUUGUCUGAGGGAGAACCAGCCAGAGGUAGACGCCGUUGUUCCGCCGGGACCGCUUGAUCCUUGAACAUCUCUAGCUCUCCUGGAUGCAUCGCUUCGCGGCGAAUCAUGGUUACGUCUGCUUGCAUGUAGGUUGAUUUCUAGUUUGUCCAUUAAAAUCGAUCAAAUCAAGCACACCUUUCAAAAAAUAAAAAUAAAAGGGACUGGCUAGGGCUCAGUCGGCUGAGAAAACCACAUUUAUCAGUCGACCGGCCUGGGUACGUGCAUGGGUGUGUAUGUCUUCUCGGUGUUUUGGAGUUUGAGAUCACAAUGAAAAGCGUUCGUCAUUAUAGUAACAUUAAUUCAGUCUGCACUUAUAUGGUUCUCAUGUGUAUUGCUACAAAUUUUAAAACAUGUAUAUUGUUACAAAUUUUUAAACGGUGCUAAAAACUUGAAGUGAAAAAUUACUGAUCCUGACGAAAACACACUUAACAGCACAACGAACGCCAUGGAG
Molecule: long non-coding RNA, 673 nt
Filed under: Brachypodium distachyon (stiff brome)
Lineage: Eukaryota; Viridiplantae; Streptophyta; Magnoliopsida; Poales; Poaceae
Description: long non-coding RNA (BDIS_LNC005804)
Source: RNAcentral